UUUUUUUCCAAAAGCAACUAGUGUAGGUCCUUACUUUAAAUAUUUUAGCCACAAGUUCUACGUUAAAUUACCAAUCUAAGUUAGCAGCUAUACUAAUCAAGCAUAGUUUCCAAACAAUUAAUGCAAGGAAUCAUAUUAGAUCAUCACCAUCUUUCAUUCUUACUUAGUGUAGCAUAGCGAUCAAGCAGUCCCAAACUGUAAGAGAUAGACGAAUGCCCC
RNAcentral lists this long non-coding RNA (219 nucleotides) under Setaria italica (foxtail millet). RNAcentral describes it as "long non-coding RNA (SITA_LNC002976)". The record is from RNAcentral. Lineage: Eukaryota; Viridiplantae; Streptophyta; Magnoliopsida; Poales; Poaceae.